RNAcentral lists this ribosomal RNA (564 nucleotides) under uncultured bacterium. RNAcentral describes it as "partial 16S ribosomal RNA". It matches the Rfam family "Bacterial small subunit ribosomal RNA", at positions 355 to 939 of the family's 1533-position model. The record is from RNAcentral.
UGGGGAAUUUUGGACAAUGGGGGCAACCCUGAUCCAGCCAUGCCGCGUGAGUGAUGAAGGCCUUCGGGUUGUAAAGCUCUUUUGGCGGGGACGAUGAUGACGGUACCCGCAGAAUAAGCCCCGGCUAACUUCGUGCCAGCAGCCGCGGUAAGACGAAGGGGGCUAGCGUUGUUCGGAAUUACUGGGCGUAAAGCGAGUGUAGGCGGUUGCCGUAGUCAGGUGUGAAAGCCUUGAGCUCAACUCAAGAAAUGCACUUGAUACUGGGUGACUAGAGGACCGGAGAGGAUAGUGGAAUUCCCAGUGUAGUGGUGAAAUACGUAGAGAUUGGGAAGAACACCAGUGGCGAAGGCGGCUAUCUGGACGGUUACUGACGCUAAGACUCGAAAGCGUGGGGAGCAAACAGGAUUAGAUACCCUGGUAGUCCACGCCGUAAACGAUGGGUGCUAGACGUUGGCGAGCUUGCUCGUCAGUGUCGCAGCUAACGCGUUAAGCACCCCGCCUGGGGGAGUACGGCCGCAAGGUUGAAACUCAAAAUGAAUUGACGGGGGUCAUAGCUGUUUUCCU